CAAGAAGUUCCUGUGGGAGGAGUUGGAGCUGGUGCGGGAGGAGGUGACCUUCAUCUACCAGAAGCUGUAGGCCAAGGAGGACGGGAUCGCAGAGAACCUCUCAAACAUCCAGAAGAUGCAGCGAACGCAGGUGAAGGGUCGCGGUGGAGGUAAGGGGACCCUGCAGGAGGUGGCGGGGGAGUCUCCGCCAGCCUGCACCAUCAGACCGCAGGCCGGGCUCAACCCCCAGCCCUGCCACCCAGCGCUGUGCGACCCCGGGCAAGUCACUUUGCCUCUCUGGGGCUCAGUGCAUUUGUCUGGAUAAUGGGUAGAAUGGAGACGCUCCCUUCCUGACUGAGCAGCUUGCUUAACUGAGGGCUUGACUGCCGCCUGGUGUAGAGUAAGUGCUGCACGCAGUGGGCACCGUCCACCAUCGUCGUGUUUGUGGCUGAUUUCUCAUCCCCCCGGGCCCCAGGUCCUGACAAAGAUGCAGCAGCAGCAGCAGCAGCAGCAGCAGGGAUAUGAGCCAUCUGCCUGUCCCGAGGCCGAGGAGGCAGUGCCAGGAAGCGACGGCUGGAAGGACGACCUCCAGAAAGAACUGAGUGACAUAUGGUCCGCCAUCCGCGGGCUGCAGAAUUCCAUUGAUGGUCUUACCAUGUCCUCAGAGGCGCCCCGCGCGGCCUCCAGCCUCAGGGGCCACAGGGGACACCGGUGCCUGAGCCCUGGGCUCCCUUCCUGGGACACAGAGCCCCAUUGGGACCCGCCGCCUUUCAGCAAGAACGGUGCCUUCCCUUCCGGUGGGGUUCCUCCCCGGCCCCCACGACCCUUCCCCUCCUGGCCUGCCCUGCCUGAGCGUUCUGAUGUCCCCCGGGUCCGGCCAGGCCCUGAUCACCUUCUCUCUCCACAGCUUGAGCAGCCGGGGGCUGCUCGUCCUGAAGAGCCCUCCAGAGAGAAAAUAAACUCCUCACCCCGGACUCCUCUGCUCCCGCUGCUUCCGUACUGGGAACCCCCCUCACCCCUAAGUUACUCCUGGGGCCAGGGCAGGUGCAGAGACCCCAGAGAGUCGUCGGGUCGGGGGACAGCGUGAGGCCAGAUUUAGUGAGGACAAGGUCGAGGGCCAGUCUGUCCAGGCAGGAGGGCUUUCUCUUUGGUGGCGGGAGGGUGCCCUGGGGGAUCUGAUCAUCAGCAACCGAUACAUAGCCAAGUAGGAAAACGGGCCCAGGGAAAGGAGAGCCGGAGGCUCCGCGUGGAGCUGGGAACCUCCGCCCUUCCCUAGGACCCUCCAUUCUCGUUCCCGGAGAAUCUGUGCUAACUCGCCCCGCCUCCAACACAAGAGGCCCCGCCCCGAUAUGCUAAUAUGAGCGGCGAGUCCCCGCCUUA
Molecule: long non-coding RNA, 1359 nt
Filed under: Fukomys damarensis (Damara mole-rat)
Lineage: Eukaryota; Metazoa; Chordata; Mammalia; Rodentia; Bathyergidae
Description: lncRNA (ENSFDAG00000029800.1)
Source: RNAcentral